This 131-nucleotide small RNA is filed under the name Klebsiella michiganensis. Its description in RNAcentral is "RtT sRNA". It matches the Rfam family "RtT RNA". Rfam says of the family: This family represents a bacterial cis-regulatory element known as RtT RNA. The record is from RNAcentral. RNAcentral also lists the same sequence under 5 other names. Lineage: Bacteria; Pseudomonadati; Pseudomonadota; Gammaproteobacteria; Enterobacterales; Enterobacteriaceae.
UAUUCAUCCCAUGCGGGAAGGAUGAGAAGCUUCGACUAAGGUUCGAUUCGAGCGAAGCGAGAAAGCGUUGCCGCAGGCAACGACCCGAAGGGCGAGGCGCAACGCGCCGAGUAAUCCUUCCACCACCCUCA